Small nuclear RNA from Camelus dromedarius (Arabian camel), 97 nucleotides. Lineage: Eukaryota; Metazoa; Chordata; Mammalia; Artiodactyla; Camelidae. The record is from Ensembl.
AUGCUCAUUUCAGCAGCACGUAUACUAAAGUCAGAACAAUACAGAGAAGAUUCUCAUGGCCCCUGCACAAGGAUGAACACACACACUCCGUAUUUUU